GGGUUGUGAGGUUAAGCGACUAAGCGUACACGGUGGAUGCCCUGGCAGUCAGAGGCGAUGAAGGACGUGCUAAUCUGCGAUAAGCGCCGGUAAGGUGAUAUGAACCGUUAUAACCGGCGAUUUCCGAAUGGGGAAACCCAGUGUGAUUCGUCACACUAUCAUUAACUGAAUCCAUAGGUUAAUGAGGCGAACCGGGGGAACUGAAACAUCUAAGUACCCCGAGGAAAAGAAAUCAACCGAGAUUCCCCCAGUAGCGGCGAGCGAACGGGGAGGAGCCCAGAGCCUGAAUCAGUCCGAAUGGGGAAACCCAGUGUGAUUCGUCACACUAUCAUUAACUGAAUCCAUAGGUUAAUGAGGCGAACCGGGGGAACUGAAACAUCUAAGUACCCCGAGGAAAAGAAAUCAACCGAGAUUCCCCCAGUAGCGGCGAGCGAACGGGGAGGAGCCCAGAGCCUGAAUCAGCAUGUGUGUUAGUGGAAGCGUCUGGAAAGGCGCGCGAUACAGGGUGACAGCCCCGUACACAAAAGCGCAUGUGCUGUGAGCUCGAUGAGUAGGGCGGGACACGUGGUAUCCUGUCUGAAUAUGGGGGGACCAUCCUCCAAGGCUAAAUACUCCUGACUGACCGAUAGUGAACCAGUACCGUGAGGGAAAGGCGAAAAGAACCCCGGCGAGGGGAGUGAAAAAGAACCUGAAACCGUGUACGUACAAGCAGUGGGAGCCCCACCACUAAGCCAGUGGUGAACUCCACAUCCGCAUCCUUUGCUGAGGAUACGGUUAACGGAGCGAAAGCGACGUUCAACCGCAAAACAAGCAGAGGGGGCUUAGUGGUGGGGUGACUGCGUACCUUUUGUAUAAUGGGUCAGCGACUUAUAUUCUGUAGCAAGGUUAACCGUAUAGGGGAGCCGGAGGGAAACCGAGUCUUAAUUGGGCGUUAAGUUGCAGGGUAUAGACCCGAAACCCGGUGAUCUAGCCAUGGGCAGGUUGAAGGUUGGGUAACACUAACUGGAGGACCGAACCGACUAAUGUUGAAAAAUUAGCGGAUGACCUGUGGCUGGGGGUGAAAGGCCAAUCAAACCGGGAGAUAGCUGGUUCUCCCCGAAAGCUAUUUAGGUAGCGCCUCGUGAAUUCAUCUCCGGGGGUAGAGCACUGUUUCGGCUAGGGGGCCAUCCCGGCUUACCAACCCGAUGCAAACUGCGAAUACCGGAGAAUGUUAUCACGGGAGACACACG
RNAcentral lists this ribosomal RNA (1229 nucleotides) under Salmonella enterica subsp. enterica. RNAcentral describes it as "partial 23S ribosomal RNA". It matches the Rfam family "Bacterial large subunit ribosomal RNA", at positions 1 to 990 of the family's 2925-position model. The record is from RNAcentral. Lineage: Bacteria; Pseudomonadati; Pseudomonadota; Gammaproteobacteria; Enterobacterales; Enterobacteriaceae.